This 71-nucleotide transfer RNA is filed under the name Cyanidioschyzon merolae. Its description in RNAcentral is "trnC". It matches the Rfam family "tRNA". From Rfam's summary of the family: Transfer RNA (tRNA) molecules are approximately 80 nucleotides in length. Their secondary structure includes four short double-helical elements and three loops (D, anti-codon, and T loops). The record is from RNAcentral. Lineage: Eukaryota; Rhodophyta; Bangiophyceae; Cyanidiales; Cyanidiaceae.
GCUAGUAGCAUAAUAGGACAAAAUGCAAAAGAUUGCAAAUCUUUGGAUGAUGGUUCAAGUCCAUCCUAGCU